AUGAGGCCGCAGGUGAUGGCCAGCCCCGGAGGGAGAGGGGAAAGACGGAGCUGGGAUGGGGCCAGAGGCAGCUCCCUUGGGGCCAGGGCUGGGCUGGUGGCUGUGCCAAGGCAGUCGCCUCCUUCCCCCCCAGCCGAGGCACAGAGCCAGGGCCGUGCCCUGCACUGCCCCUGCUGCCCCCGCAGCCUCUGCCCUGGGUGGCUGGAAGCCCUCGGGGAGCAGUGGGAGGGGGCAGUGGGGGGGACAGAGCUGCCAGGGCCACAGACUGUGGGGUGGGACUUGGCCAGGGAGGAGAGAGAGUGGGAGCCCUACAUGGGCCAGGAACUGCCCCAGUGGGGAAAUGAGAGUGUCCAAGAGCUGGAGCAGUGGGAAGACGAGAAAUAUCAGGAGCCUUCGCAGUGGGGAAAUGAGAAUGUCCAAGAGCUGGAGCAGUGGGAAGAUGAGAAAUAUCAGGAGCCUUCGCAGUGGGGAAAUGAGAAUGUCCAAGAGCUGGAGCAGUGGGAAGAUGAGAAAUAUCAGGAGCCUUCGCAGUGGGGAAAUGAGAAUGUCCAAGAGCUGGAGCAGUGGGAAGAUGAGAAAUAUCAGGAGCCUUCGCAGUGGGGAAAUGAGAAUGUCCAAGAGCUGGAGCAGUGGGAAGAUGAGAAAUACCAAGAUGUGUCCCAAUGGGAAGUGGAGGAAGACCAAGAGCUGUCCCACGGGAGAGAUGUGAGGUGCCAGGAGCCUUCCCAAAGGGGAGAUGUGGAUGUCCAAGAGCUGUACAAACGGGAAGACAAAAGAGACCUGUCGCGAUCAGAAGGUGAGAUAGACCCACAGCUGUACCACUGGGAAUUUGAGAGGCACCAAGAGUUACUCAAGUGGCUGGACAUGGGAAUCCAAGAGCUGUCCCAAGAAGAAAAUGACAGUGACAAAGUGCUUCCCCAAUGGGAACACUCAAUUGACCGAGAGCUGUCCGAAGGCGAAGUCGGACGAGACCCAGAGCUGUCCCAAAGGGGACACAAGAGAGACACAGAGGUGUCGCAGGAGGACUGGGAACAGAUCGCCAUCCACACCAUCUGGGUCAACCCCAAGUACCCACAGCUGCUGCAGGACCCCGACGCUGCUCCCCAGGACUCGGCCAAGGCCGCGGCUUCUCGGGCCUCGGCUGAGCAGGGGAGGGCAGCAGGGGCACAGAGCCAGGGCCCUGCCCCGCACAGCCCCUGCUGCCCCCCAGGCCCCUCAGCUCCCCCGCCGGGAGCCCUCGGGCAGCGGCCGGCGGCCCCCAAGAAUCGCCCGUCCCGCUUCAGGCGGGCGCUGCGGGCGCUGCGGGCGCUGCUCCGCUGCCCCUGCCUGCGGCCACGGCCGGACAAUCAGUGA
This 1353-nucleotide long non-coding RNA is filed under the name Corvus moneduloides (New Caledonian crow). RNAcentral describes it as "lncRNA (ENSCMUG00000019950.1)". The record is from RNAcentral. Lineage: Eukaryota; Metazoa; Chordata; Aves; Passeriformes; Corvidae.